This 392-nucleotide long non-coding RNA is filed under the name Anas platyrhynchos (mallard). RNAcentral's name for it is "lncRNA (ENSAPLG00020002776.1)". The record is from RNAcentral. Lineage: Eukaryota; Metazoa; Chordata; Aves; Anseriformes; Anatidae.
GAGUAACUUUGAGCUCUUCUUUGUGACAGGGCCACAGCCAAGCCCAUCUUGGUGCUGCUGCCCGUGCUGGGGCUGACGUGGGUGUGUGGGGUCCUUGUCCACCUCAGCAUCGUCUGGGCCUAUGUCUUCAUCGUGCUCAACUCCCUCCAGGGCCUGUAUAUAUUCCUGGUCUAUGCAAUCUAUAACAGCGAGGUGAGGAAUGCCAUCCAGAGGAUGAAGGACAAGAAGAAAGCACUCUCAUUCACAAACUGCUCUCAUCCCAUCAACUACUUAUCAAGUCCAAGAAACACAACCUCCUGGGAGACCGGGAAACUGAGUCCUGCAGCUGAGAGUGCCUUGUCGAGCUCCUGUGCAGAAAGAUCCACCAGUGAAGAACAUCACCAACAAAGGCA